GUCAUUAUCCCAGCUACUCAGGAGACUGAGGUGGGAGGAUCACUUGAGUCCAGGAGUUCUGGGCUGUAAUGCACUAUGCCCAUCAGGUCUCCACACUAAGUUGGUAUCAAUAUGGUGACCUCUCGGGAGCGGGGGACCACCAGGUUGCCUAAGGAGGGGUGAACUGGCCCAGCUCGGAAAUGGAGUAGGUCAAAACUCCCGUACUGAUCAGAACAGCUAGACAGAUGAUCAACAACAAAGGAAUUAGAAGUCCUGAGCAACACUAAAUGGACCUGA
Molecule: unclassified non-coding RNA, 276 nt
Organism: Cavia aperea (Brazilian guinea pig)
Lineage: Eukaryota; Metazoa; Chordata; Mammalia; Rodentia; Caviidae
Rfam family: Metazoan signal recognition particle RNA
About the family: The signal recognition particle (SRP) is a universally conserved ribonucleoprotein. It is involved in the co-translational targeting of proteins to membranes.
Source: Ensembl